AAACCCUCACAUGUCCCUCCCUCUUUGGAACAGUCAAAGUUGGGAGGUGUGCCUCUGUGGAUCUGGAUCGUUUGUGGACCUCCGAGUCUACAAUGGUCUUAAAUGAAAUGUCUACAGCUCUUGUUGUCCUCGACAAAGCCCAGAGUGCAUGAAUGGAGUUUGAAAAAACUUGAUCCUCACGAUGGUGUUUUGUUCAAAGGCUCACUUGUUGUGGACCCAACCAUUACAUUGGCGGAUGCAUCCCUGUUGGUGUGUCUUCCAAAA
Molecule: unclassified non-coding RNA, 264 nt
Filed under: uncultured Chytridiomycetes
Lineage: Eukaryota; Fungi; Chytridiomycota; Chytridiomycetes
Description: sequence contains ITS2
Source: RNAcentral